AAGGAAUAUUGGUCAAUGGACGCAAGUCUGAACCAGCCAUGCCGCGUGAAGGAUGAAGGUCCUCUGGAUUGUAAACUUCUUUUAUCUGGGACGAAAACGGGAUUUUUAUCUCAAUUGACGGUACCAGAGGAAUAAGCACCGGCUAACUCCGUGCCAGCAGCCGCGGUAAUACGGAGGGUGCGAGCGUUAUCCGGAUUUACUGGGUUUAAAGGGUGCGUAGGUGGGCUUAUAAGUCAGUGGUGAAAGCUCCGAGCUUAACUUGGAAACGGCCGUUGAUACUAUAGCUCUUGAAUUAUCGGGAGGUAAGCGGAAUAUGUCAUGUAGCGGUGAAAUGCUUAGAUAUGACAUAGAACACCAAUUGCGAAGGCAGCUUACUACAUAUAAAUUGACGCUGAGGCACGAAAGCGUGGGGAUC
RNAcentral lists this ribosomal RNA (415 nucleotides) under uncultured bacterium. RNAcentral describes it as "bacterial SSU rRNA". It matches the Rfam family "Bacterial small subunit ribosomal RNA", at positions 356 to 769 of the family's 1533-position model. The record is from RNAcentral.